Mustela erminea (ermine) is the source of this 3384-nucleotide RNA transcript. It is a transcript of the gene named WD repeat containing planar cell polarity effector, with no coding region annotated. The transcript has 19 exons. The record is from RefSeq and is a predicted model, not a curated record. Lineage: Eukaryota; Metazoa; Chordata; Mammalia; Carnivora; Mustelidae.
CUGUGAUUGGAGGGCAGCGAUGAGUUGAAGAUUUGUGCUUGGGGCGGGGAGGACCUGCUUGUUGGCGCCCAAUAAUUGGUGGGAGGGGAGGCACGUGGAAGCCGAGGGAGGAGAUACAGACCCUUUAGCUACAUCACCCACUCGUGCGUGAGUGAGACUUAUCUUACCCCAAGGGUAAAAGUGGGAGGUAAAGAGACCUUCCGCUGCGUAAAAUCGGCUCGACCCGGAAACAGAGUCUCUUUAAAACUAUUCACACUGCGUAGGGGCGGGCGGAAUUGACGUGUUGCUAAGGCUGGAAGGCUUCGCAAGUUGCUAAGCGACGAGGCGGGAGAGCGCGCGCACGCACGGGCCGCUGGCGAGUACCUGAGGGAUUUGUGGCUCUCGCAGUUCAGAGACCGAAGACUCCCAGCGAGUGCGCCGCGGCCUGCCGGGUCGUCCUUCCCUAGUUGCCAGGGGACCCUCCGCUCUAGGUAGUGUCCGGUGACGAGCUGAGCAGCUUGCGGGGACGCUCCUCUGAGGCGGCCAGCUACCGCGCGUCUUCCCGACUCCCUGAGGCAGGCCUCACCCAUCCAAAUGAGAAGGGUGCUGUUUACAUAUUCUAAUAAGGACAGAGAUUUCUUCUACCAUCAGAUGUCUUUCUGCUUGACUGAACUGCACCUGUGGUCUUUGAAGAAUACCUUACACAUUGGAGACAGAGACAUAGGGAUCUAUCAGUAUUAUGAUAAGAAAGACCCACCAGUAUCAGUGACAGAGCAUGGUAACUUAACAGAAAAGCAGAAACUGGCAGAAUCACGAGAUUAUCUGUGGAUACUCAAAAAUAGACGCCCAGAGAAACUUCGAGACUCACUCAAGGAGUUGGAGGAAUUGAUGCAAAACAGUCACUGUGUGCUGAGCAAAUGGAAGAACAAAUAUGUCUGUCAGCUCCUCUUUGGUUCAGGUGUGCUGGUGUCCUUAAGCCUCUCUGGGCCACAGCUGGAAAAAGUGGUGAUUGACAGAAGCCUGGUGGGGAAGCUCAUCUCAGACUCCAUCAGUGAUGCUCUUCUCACAGACAACUUCAUCAUCUUGUCAUUUUUGGCACAAAACAAACUAUGUUUUAUUCAGUUUACCAAGAAGAUGGGGUCUCCUGAUACAAACAAAAGACUGGAAAAACUCUCAGCCUUGGAUUAUAAGAUUUCCUAUUAUGAGAUACCUGGUCCAGUAAACAGGACAACAGAGCGUCGUCUUGCUAUCAAUUGUGUUCAGGAUAUAGUUGCUUGCUGGUGGCCACUGGUCAGUGAUGAUGCUUGGCCUUGGGCUCCCAUUUCCCCUGAGAAGGACAGAGCCAAUCUGCUGCUCCUAGGUUAUGCUGAAGGAAAACUAGAGGUCCUGAGUUGUGUCCGCACAGAAUGGGAUCUACUGGAUGUUCGCUUUGGCACCAAACAGCCUUAUCAGGUGUUGACAGUGGAGAACUCCAUCAGUGUAGACAAAGAGCCCAUGGCUGACAGCUGCAUCUAUGAAUGCGUUCGGAACAAAAUCCAAUGUAUAUCAGUAACUAGAAUACCACUAAGAUCAAAGGCCAUUAGCUGCUGCAGGAAUAUUACUGAAGACAAACUAAUUUUGGGCUGUGAAGAUUCUUCAGUAAUUCUGUAUGAAACUCACCGUAGAGUAACUCUCUUAGCCCAGGCUGAACUUAUGCCUUCAUUAAUAAGUUGUCACCCAAGUGGUGCCAUUCUACUAGUUGGCAGCAACCAAGGGGAGCUACAGAUUUUUGAUAUGGCUUUAUCCCCAAUUAACAUCCAGCUCCUGGCCGAAGACCGCUCACCCAGCGAGACUCUACAGUUCAAUAAAUUCUUUGACAUUUCCAGCAGUCUUGUUCAAAUGCAGUGGAUAGUUCCUCAGGUGGUUUCUCAGAAGCCAGAAUGUGGGGACAUCUAUGAUCUCCUCUUCCUCAGGUUUAACAGAGGACCUUUGGGUGCACUUUUGUUUAAACUUGGUAUCUUCACACGAGGAAAGCUGGGCCUGACAGACAUCAUAUUCCAGUACAUUCAUUGUGAUGAGAUCUGUAAGGCAAUAAACAUCCUGAGCAGUAUGGACUGGGACACACUGGGUCACCAGUGUUUUAUCAGCAUGAGUGCCAUUGUAAACCAUCUUCUUAGACAAAAGCUCACUCCAGAGAGAGAAGCACAGCUUGAGGCAAGCCUUGGAACCUUUUAUGCUCCAACAAGACCACUCCUGGAUACAACUAUAUUGGAAUAUAGAGACGAAAUCAGCAAAUAUGCAAGAAGAUUCUUUCAUCACUUGCUCAGGUACCAGAGAUUUGAAAAGGCAUUUCUGUUAGCGGUUGACAUUGGUGCUCAUGACCUGUUUAUGGAUAUCCAUUACUUUGCACUAGAUAAGGGUGAAUUGGCACUAGCUGAAGUGGCAAGAAAAAGAGCUAGUGACAUUGAUGCAGAAUCAAUAACCUCUGGAGUUGAACUCCUGGGGCCUUUGGACAGAGGAGAUAUGCUAAAUGAAGCUUUUGUUGGCCUGUCUUUAGAUCCUCAAGGAGAAGACACAUUUCCAGAUGACCUUCCUCCCUUUUGUUCAAUUCAGAAACAUAUUAUUCAACAAAGAACAGUGAAUGUCUUCUCUAAUAGACAAGUACUUGACAGAAGAAAUGAACUUGACACCUGUGCAGAAUCUUUGAGGACUAAGACCUGUAAUGAAGAAGAAAUUGCCAAAGCCACCUGAACCUUCAGCGACAACAACCCUGAUCAGUCAGCAGCCAUCAAUAUCAAAGAAGACGCUCCACCACCAAAAAUUACAGCUCAGUGAAAGCUCAGAAGAUGGUUAGCAUAUUUUAGCAAUAAAGUAUUUUUAAAUUAAGGUCCUGGAGCAGAAACGACAUGUUUCUAUGUCAUUAAUAUUUGGUAGAAAUCACCUACUUUGCCAUCCUACGAGAGACAAGCUGUCUCCUUCCUGAACCUGGGGAGGAAGAAACCUGGGAUCAACAGCCUAUAAGUUGGUGUUUCAUACACAGGUUUACCUACUUUUAAUCUUGAUAAACUUCAAGGAUUUUUUUUUUUAAUCACAUUUUGGUACUGUGGAUCAUCUGUCACCGAUGGUCAGAAUUCCAUGGUAGCAAAGUGGUUUUCUCCAUUUAGAAAAGACAGCUUUGCUACACUUAACAACAUUAGGAAUUAUUUCUAAGAUGAACAUGGAGGGUCUAAAAGUAAAAGCACUUUUGUAAAUAUAUGCUAUCUUAUCUGGAGCUGUUGCUUUUUUUUCUUAAAGAGUUUAAAGGAAGAAUAUAUUUAAACCACAUAAACAAAAUGGUAUUACAUAAGAAAAAAUAAUGUAACAAUUUAUGUAAGUACCUAACAUAUGAGCAUGCUCUUAAACCUAAAACAAAAAAUAAAAAGGUAA